UGCCUCUAAUCAGAGUUGAACUGAUAUUUACGCUUUACGAGAGCGUUGUCCUUGCCGUUAGACUAUAGAGGC
RNAcentral lists this transfer RNA (72 nucleotides) under Terrestrivirus sp. RNAcentral's name for it is "tRNA-Thr". Lineage: Varidnaviria; Bamfordvirae; Nucleocytoviricota; Megaviricetes; Imitervirales; Mimiviridae. The record is from RNAcentral.